CUUUGGAGGGAUCUCUCUUGUGACAGUGGUCUGGUUGGAAGCAGGAGGUCCUCUCCUCCACAAGCCCAGGAAGCAAGGAGGGUUACUUGUAGUACUACCACAUGCCCAGAGGCCAGGAGACAUGCUCUCUUGGUGCAUAAAUAAAUCUGAAGGUGACUACACCAGAUGAAAUAUUAAUAAAAACUCCUCCUUUUCACUUCUGCCAUACCUUUGGUGGUUCUUUGCAUCCAGUCAAACCAGAUGCAAAGAGGAGCAUUUAACUGCAUACCAGUUGCUGAAGACUGGUACCUGCUGCCAAGUGUUGUAAAUAAAAAGUUGCCAGAGUGCAGUU
This is a long non-coding RNA of Corvus hawaiiensis (hawaiian crow), 331 nucleotides long. RefSeq lists it as uncharacterized. The transcript has 3 exons. Lineage: Eukaryota; Metazoa; Chordata; Aves; Passeriformes; Corvidae. The record is from RefSeq and is a predicted model, not a curated record.